Otolemur garnettii (small-eared galago) is the source of this 96-nucleotide small nucleolar RNA. NCBI's taxonomy places the organism in Eukaryota, Metazoa, Chordata, Mammalia, Primates, Galagidae. The record is from Ensembl.
AUCCUUUUGCGGUUCACAAGUGUGAUGACCGGAGUGCACAUGCAUGCGAGAUGUGCCUCCCUUGAACUUUGACAUCAGCACAUUACCUGUCUGAUG